AAUAACAUGCCUGAUUAAAGGGGUAUUUUGAUAGAAUAUUUUAUGUUGAUUUAUCAUCUGUUAUUG
This 66-nucleotide transfer RNA is filed under the name Taeniogonalos tricolor. RNAcentral describes it as "tRNA-Ile". Lineage: Eukaryota; Metazoa; Arthropoda; Insecta; Hymenoptera; Trigonalidae. The record is from RNAcentral.